GGUCACCGUUCUGCCUUGAUUCGAUUUGGGAAGGAGAGUUCCCUCCCUCCCCCUGCCCGACCUCGGCCGGGGCCAAUCGCGCCAGAGCGGGUCAGAAAGUGCUGACCCCACUUCCACCUUUUCCUCUUUCAGCCCCCAAUACCAGGCCUGUUGCGGAAUGAAACCUCAUCAGCUUCGUUGAUGAUGAUGGAAUGAUGGAAAAUAGGAACCCCACAGAGGUGAGCAGAGCAUGGCUGUGGACCCUAUCAGCAGUGGUCUGAGAAUCUUCA
Long non-coding RNA from Choloepus didactylus (southern two-toed sloth), 269 nucleotides. RefSeq lists it as uncharacterized. The record is from RefSeq and is a predicted model, not a curated record. The transcript is spliced from 3 exons. Lineage: Eukaryota; Metazoa; Chordata; Mammalia; Pilosa; Megalonychidae.